Molecule: long non-coding RNA, 215 nt
Organism: Sander lucioperca (pikeperch)
Lineage: Eukaryota; Metazoa; Chordata; Actinopteri; Perciformes; Percidae
Exons: 3
Source: RefSeq, a predicted model, not a curated record
UGUUGUUCCCAAGCUAUUCACUUUGAGCUGACAUUAAACACUCACCCUCUGUGCCAUCAGGCUCAGCCUGCUCCUCACGCUGCUUCUGCUUGAACUUCAUGUUACCAUGGUGGAGCACAGCACCAGUCAACUUGUAGAUGGACAUUUUCUCUUCAUGAGUGAAGCCCAGGAUAUCAAUAGCGUCUGAGUUCAAAAGAGCGUUGUGAAGGGAAAGA